UGGCGGCGUGCCGUAAUACAUGCAAGUCGAACGGUCUUUCUAUGGAAGCUUGCUUCCAUGAGAAGAUAGUGGCGAACGGGUGAGUAACACGUGGGUAACCUGCCCAUAAGAGGGGGAUAACAUCCGGAAACGGGUGCUAAUACCGCAUAGUUUUCUUGAUCGCAUGAUUGAGAAAGGAAAGACGGCCUUUGUGCUGUCGCUUAUGGAUGGACCCGCGGCGUAUUAGUUAGUUGGUGAGGUAACGGCUCACCAAGACGAUGAUACGUAGCCGACCUGAGAGGGUGAUCGGCCACAUUGGGACUGAGACACGGCCCAAACUCCUACGGGAGGCAGCAGUAGGGAAUCUUCCGCAAUGGACGAAAGUCUGACGGAGCAACGCCGCGUGAGUGAAAGAAGGUUUUCGGAUCGUAAAACUCUGUUGUCAGAGAAGAACAAGUUGGAGAGUAACUGCUCCAGCCUUGACGGUAUCUGACCAGAAAGCCACGGCUAACUACGUGCCAGCCGCGGC
Molecule: ribosomal RNA, 508 nt
Filed under: uncultured bacterium
Lineage: Bacteria
Description: bacterial SSU rRNA
Rfam family: Bacterial small subunit ribosomal RNA
Source: RNAcentral